This 572-nucleotide ribosomal RNA is filed under the name Alternaria sp. DL-1. RNAcentral describes it as "eukaryotic LSU rRNA". The stretch from base 198 to 351 matches the Rfam family "5.8S ribosomal RNA". The record is from RNAcentral. Lineage: Eukaryota; Fungi; Ascomycota; Dothideomycetes; Pleosporales; Pleosporaceae.
UCCGUAGGGUGAACCUGCGGAGGGAUCAUUACACAAAUAUGAAGGCGGGCUGGAACCUCUCGGGGUUACAGCCUUGCUGAAUGUAUUCACCCUUGUCUUUUGCGUACUUCUUGUUUCCUUGGUGGGUUCGCCCACCACUAGGACAAACAUAAACCUUUUGUAAUUGCAAUCAGCGUCAGUAACAAAUUAAUAAUUACAACUUUCAACAACGGAUCUCUUGGUUCUGGCAUCGAUGAAGAACGCAGCGAAAUGCGAUAAGUAGUGUGAAUUGCAGAAUUCAGUGAAUCAUCGAAUCUUUGAACGCACAUUGCGCCCUUUGGUAUUCCAAAGGGCAUGCCUGUUCGAGCGUCAUUUGUACCCUCAAGCUUUGCUUGGUGUUGGGCGUCUUGUCUCUAGCUUUGCUGGAGACUCGCCUUAAAGUAAUUGGCAGCCGGCCUACUGGUUUCGGAGCGCAGCACAAGUCGCACUCUCUAUCAGCAAAGGUCUAGCAUCCAUUAAGCCUUUUUUUCAACUUUUGACCUCGGAUCAGGUAGGGAUACCCGCUGAACUUAAGCAUAUCAAUAAGCGGAGGA